RNAcentral lists this ribosomal RNA (484 nucleotides) under uncultured bacterium. RNAcentral's name for it is "partial 16S ribosomal RNA". It matches the Rfam family "Bacterial small subunit ribosomal RNA", at positions 27 to 507 of the family's 1533-position model. The record is from RNAcentral.
GGGGGGGGGGGGGGGGGGGGGGGGGGGGUGCGGGUGGGGGGGGUGAGGGGAGCUUGCUCCUGGAUUCAGCGGCGGACGGGUGAGUAAUGCCUAGGAAUCUGCCUGGUAGUGGGGGAGUACGUCCGGAAACGGUCGCUAAUACCGCAUACGUCCUGUGGGAGCAAGUGGGGGAUCUUCGGACCUCACGCUAUCAGAUGAGCCUAGGUCGGAUUAGCUAGUUGGUGGGGUAAAGGCCUACCAAGGCGACGAUCCGUAACUGGUCUGAGAGGAUGAUCAGUCACACUGGAACUGAGACACGGUCCAGACUCCUACGGGAGGCAGCAGUGGGGAAUAUUGGACAAUGGGCGAAAGCCUGAUCCAGCCAUGCCGCGUGUGUGAAGAAGGUCUUCGGAUUGUAAAGCACUUUAAGUUGGGAGGAAGGGCAGUAAGUUAAUACCUUGCUGUUUUGACGUUACCAACAGAAUAAGCACCGGCUAACUUCGUG